Molecule: long non-coding RNA, 831 nt
Organism: Notolabrus celidotus (New Zealand spotty)
Lineage: Eukaryota; Metazoa; Chordata; Actinopteri; Labriformes; Labridae
Exons: 2
Source: RefSeq, a predicted model, not a curated record
AAGGUCUGAAAAGGAGCCACGUUGAUUGGCCACCUCCCGCUGUCAUCACUCCGCAUGGUCCCGCCCCCCCCCGCUCUCCCUCUCCGGCAGCAGCAGGCGUAUAUAAACACGCUGAUCCAUCUUCCUCCAGCUUACCCAGUAACAUCAUGAUAAGCAUUACGUGGAGCACAGAUGGGAGGGCGCACGCGCUCAGAUUGUGGCUGAUUUCAAUAGAAAGCUGAAGAGUGAAAGAGACACAGCCUUGACUACUCAUCCAGCACGCGUAACAUCAUGUCGGCUUCACCUGUUGUUCCUGUCGACACACGUGAAUGAAGCCAUGGACGUGGCGCUCUAGAGGAUGGAAGUGUUGUCGUUGCUGAGUGGAAGACUAGUGAUUUUGUUGUGACGCUGAUCAAAGAACAACAAGUCCCAGUCUGCCUCUCAGCACAAGCAGAGCUCUUCACUCUACGUCUGCUUUCACCUGCACAAAUCAGAAUGUGUUCCCAUUUCCGUCAUGUCUUUGUGAUUGAGUUUUUUCUCCUGUUUAUACAGCUGCAAGAGAACAAAAAAUGCCCUUAAAACACACUGAUUCAUCUGCCGCUGCAGGAAGAAGUGUGACUGGGUACAGCCUUCAUGUUCAACAAUUUCAAAUCAAAUCAAAAGCAUCUUUAAUCACACACAAUGAAAACUGCCUUGUACAACAGCUCACGUUUUGCAAAUAAAGUCACAGACAGUCACUAUGUAUGUUUUUCUAGUCUGCAGUUCGUAACCUUACUUUUGACCACUUGUGCUUUAAAGUUGUAAUUGUUUUGAAUGGCUGAAUAGAAAUGGACUGUAAACCUCUUGCAUGUA